GCCUGCUGAUCUGCAUACAUCUGCAGCAUCCCCGGAAGGAUCCCCGGGAGGGAACAACAGAGGGAAAGCUGCUCAGCGACAGUUUUUCCUACUCCCAAGCUUUCUAUAACUGCAGAAGCAAUGCGACCGGCUGCCUUCCCCGCUGCUGCUCUGCCUUGACCGCUACAAUGGACGGCACCAUGAGCUGAGAGACCCUUCCUUCCAAUUGCUCUUGUCGGGCAUAUUGUCAUAACAGCGAGAGAA
RNAcentral lists this long non-coding RNA (243 nucleotides) under Rattus norvegicus (Norway rat). RNAcentral describes it as "long non-coding RNA NONRATT021096". Lineage: Eukaryota; Metazoa; Chordata; Mammalia; Rodentia; Muridae. The record is from RNAcentral.